Molecule: transfer RNA, 60 nt
Filed under: Velia rivulorum
Lineage: Eukaryota; Metazoa; Arthropoda; Insecta; Hemiptera; Veliidae
Description: partial tRNA-Leu
Source: RNAcentral
UGGCAGAAAUACAUGCAAUGAAUUUAAGAUUCAUUUAUAAAGAUUAAUCUUUUAUUAGAU